GUGUUUGCUUCAGCAGCACACAUACUAAAAUUGGAACGAUACAAAGAUUAGCAUGGCCUCUGUGCAAGGAUGACACACAAAUCUGUGAAGCAGUCCAUAUUAAA
Molecule: small nuclear RNA, 104 nt
Organism: Otolemur garnettii (small-eared galago)
Lineage: Eukaryota; Metazoa; Chordata; Mammalia; Primates; Galagidae
Source: Ensembl